AUUGAACGCUGGCGGCAGGCCUAACACAUGCAAGUCGAGCGGAUGAAGGGAGCUUGCUCCUGGAUUCAGCGGCGGACGGGUGAGUAAUGCCUAGGAAUCUGCCUGGUAGUGGGGGAUAACGUCCGGAAACGGGCGCUAAUACCGCAUACGUCCUGAGGGAGAAAGUGGGGGAUCUUCGGACCUCACGCUAUCAGAUGAGCCUAGGUCGGAUUAGCUAGUUGGUGGGGUAAAGGCCUACCAAGGCGACGAUCCGUAACUGGUCUGAGAGGAUGAUCAGUCACACUAGAACUGAGACACGGUCCAGACUCCUACGGGAGGCAGCAGUGGGGAAUAUUGGACAAUGGGCGGAAGCCUGAUCCAGCCAUGCCGCGUGUGUGAAGAAGGUCUUCGGAUUGUAAAGCACUUUAAGUUGGGAGGAAGGGCAGUAAGUUAAUACCUUGCUGUUUUGACGUUACCAACAGAAUAAGCACCGGCUAACUUCGUG
RNAcentral lists this ribosomal RNA (484 nucleotides) under uncultured bacterium. RNAcentral describes it as "partial 16S ribosomal RNA". It matches the Rfam family "Bacterial small subunit ribosomal RNA", at positions 30 to 507 of the family's 1533-position model. The record is from RNAcentral.